GACGAACCGUGCGAACGUUGUUCGGAAUCACUGGGCAUAAAGGGCGCGUAGGCGGCUUUUCAAGUCAGGGGUGAAAUCCGGCAGCUCAACUGUCGAAGUGCCCUUGAUACUGAGGAGCUCGAGGGAGGUAGGGGUGUGUGGAACUUCCGGUGGAGCGGUGAAAUGCGUUGAUAUCGGAAGGAACGCCGGUGGCGAAAGCGACGCACUGGACCUCUUCUGACGCUGAGGCGCGAAAGCCAGGGGAGCAAACGGG
This 253-nucleotide ribosomal RNA is filed under the name uncultured bacterium. RNAcentral's name for it is "partial 16S ribosomal RNA". It matches the Rfam family "Bacterial small subunit ribosomal RNA", at positions 524 to 776 of the family's 1533-position model. The record is from RNAcentral.